UCCCCCCUAUAUYGASGCGCAUGAAUGGAUUACGAGAAUUCUCAACUGUCCCUAUCUACUAUCUAGCGAAACCACAGCCAAGGGAACGGGCUUGGAAAAAUCAGCGGGGAAAGAAGACCCUUUUGAGCUUGACUCUAGUCUAUUUCUGUUCGGAGACAUGCCGAGGUGUAGCAUAAGUGGGAGACGGGGAGUUCGUUACGUUUGCCGAGAGGCGUUCGUAGCGCCCCGUCGACGUUGAAAUACCACUACUCGCAUCGUUUCCUUACUUACUCGAUGGUGCGGAGCACGUGCCGAUCGGCUCGUGGUCCGGCUCGUCUUGAUGGAAGGCGCGCUUUUGCGGAUUCUCCCGUCUUCGAAAGUUGUCGGGGGUUUCGUGGAACGCGUUCCGAAACCUUGACGGUUUGUCGGGCCCAUAGUGGCUGUCGGUUGCGGUUGAUUCCCGGUCGAGUUAAGCGCGAUAAUCGCCGCCUGUAUGGCCUGUGUUUGACAGCGCGUCAGUUUCGACUGUCUCGCUUUCGGCGCAGGUUGUCUGGUGACGUCGCGCGAUCCGAUUCGAGGACCCAAAUAGGUCGAGAGUUUGACUGGGGCGGUACAUCUGUCAAAGAAUAACGCAGGUGUCCUAAGGCUAGCUCAGCGAGGACGGAAACCUCGCGUAGAGCAAAAGGGCAAAAGCUGGCUUGAUCCCGGACGCUCAGUAAGCGUAGGGACUGCGAAAGCAUAGGCCUCUCGAUCCUCUCGACGCUGAAGAGUUUUCAGCGAGAGGUGUCAGAAAAGUUACCAGAGGGAUAACUGGCUUGUGGCGGCAGAGCGUUCAUAGCGACGUCSCUUAUGAUCU
RNAcentral lists this ribosomal RNA (835 nucleotides) under Puto albicans. RNAcentral's name for it is "eukaryotic LSU rRNA". It matches the Rfam family "Eukaryotic large subunit ribosomal RNA", at positions 2296 to 2876 of the family's 3401-position model. The record is from RNAcentral. Lineage: Eukaryota; Metazoa; Arthropoda; Insecta; Hemiptera; Pseudococcidae.